GGAGUAAUAGAUUUUUUAUGAGCAUGAAAACGCAAUAACACAGGCCAAAAAUUUUUUUGCUUAGGUUAAAGCAAUAAAUAGUCCAAAGAUGGAUUGGUAGAAAUAUCGUUUUCCUAAGCAAAAAUUCUUGUGUGCAAAGAGCACUGCUUCAUGUUGGGAUCCAUGAGGAUCCAUUAUCCAGUUGAUGCACUCCUAUCUUCUAUCUCCUCUUACAAAUAUUUUAAAUUUUUCUCUAGCAACGGACAGUUUUUACUACAGAUGUUCUACGAAGCAAGGCUCAUUUUUCGUAAACUUAGACGGGUUUGAUUCACUGAAGACAAAUCCCCACUCAGCUAACUCUACGAAAAUUAGCAAGAGAAAGAGGCAAUAACAUGGUUUACAGAAUUAACAUUAUUAAUCGCAACUAAAAUACACACAAUUGUUUUAAUGUAUUGAUCGGGAGUAUUAAAUUCUACUAAUGUGAUUCUAUGUGGACAUGCUUCAAAACCAUCAAAGCACAGCAUACCAUCGUCUGCUAUACCUAGUUAUCUUGGUUCAACCUCCUUUGUUGCACUUGGAAACUGCUGCUUGAGGGCAACCUUAAUACACUGAAUAGGGUUGUUCGCUCAAACCAGCAAAAGUCUUUUCAUGCACGUAGACUGACAUUGUUGAACUCAUAUGAAACCCUAACGGUCAGGCAUGCACGAUGGUACAGAAAGCCCCGCUAGAAUUGUUGUCAUAGAAUGAUACAACCUCAGUCUAAGUUUGAAAGUUUAAAACUUUCUUACUACUCCCCCACAUAGGAGGAAUUCUCCCACUUGAAAAUCUGGGGACUAAGUCUUAUGACUUAUAAGUAGAUGGGUAUCCCACUCAGGACCGCGGCUCCCACUUUGUCAAUAGCUAGGUGAGGGUGAUAGAAAUAACAUCUAGGUAAAUAGUAGUUAUAAUGGUAUUAGCUUAAGACACACACUCUCUGAUACACAGUGUUUCAUAGCCAGCAUCCGUGAUCCCAAACAUUCCUAGUUCAACUUUCCAUUCUAUUUCGGAUCACAGUAUCCGUUUUUGGAAAAGCUCAUCAUAUAAAUACAGCGACUUGUUAAUUACAAGUUUCAUAGCCAAACAUGAACAAUCAAUCAAUCCCGCAUGAAGUUUGAACAACGAUUUAUUCUUCAUACGGCAGUAUGAAAUUUUUUGCUUAUAAAAUGCUUUCAAUCAACGUUUUACAGUAGUUUGUAAUCCAUAAUACUUAGCAUUCCCUAAAGGUAGAAAAUACGCAGAGUUUUUUUAAAUUACUAGUGAGUUG
This is a non-coding RNA of Schizosaccharomyces pombe (fission yeast), 1282 nucleotides long. NCBI's taxonomy places the organism in Eukaryota, Fungi, Ascomycota, Schizosaccharomycetes, Schizosaccharomycetales, Schizosaccharomycetaceae. The record is from the annotation of a GenBank genome assembly.